Molecule: long non-coding RNA, 632 nt
Organism: Anolis sagrei ordinatus
Lineage: Eukaryota; Metazoa; Chordata; Lepidosauria; Squamata; Anolidae
Source: RefSeq, a predicted model, not a curated record
UAGUGCUGUCUGAAUUACUUCCUCUUACUGCUCCCUUCUGUCUUGUGUGUCUGCUUAAAUACACACACACACAACGUUUCAACUGCAGGGGACUUUGCGUGCCGAUGGAAGACCAGCAAGGAAGAGGCCAUUCUAGGUUCCCUAAAAAGGAAGGACCAAAUUCCAGGGCUAAGAUCAAGAAGAGGGAUUCAAAGGGAUGAGUUUUGCACAAGGUUAUUAGAGUGAAAAUCACCCAGAACUCAAAUGGAGAACUUCCUGAUCUAAACCCUGAUGCCUUUCGUGGAAAGAACACCAACAAUUUAAGAUAUGAAGAUGACCCCAUACUACUAGCAGAAAAAAAGCAAAGACUUGAAAUGGCUAUGGAAGAAAGUCAAGAAAGUGGAAAGAGAAGUUUACAUCUCAAGAUUUUUCAGACCUGAAUGGAACCAAAAGUAUACUGGGACUUGAAAGGUUUGCUAUGAAGGAAUUAGGUCAUGAGGUAUAAAGAUACAGUUCAUCCUAAAUUAAAAUUUUCCAUACUAUCACAUUUCCAAUUUCUGUGUAUGGUUUGAGUGAAGAAUGGCGAUAGGAAGCAAAUCAUCUUCUUUGAAAAGUGAAAAGGUUAUAUAGAUAUUGUGUAGUGCUAAAAAGUG